CCGCUGAAACUUAAGCAUAUCAAUAAGCGGAGGAAAAGAAACCAACAGGGAUUACCUCAGUAACGGCGAGUGAAGCGGUAACAGCUCAAAUUUGAAAUCUGGCUCUUUCAGGGUCCGAGUUGUAAUUUGUAGAAGAUGCUUCGGGUGUGGCUCCGGUCUAAGUUCCUUGGAACAGGACGUCAUAGAGGGUGAGAAUCCCGUAUGUGACUGGCUGCCUCCGCCCAUGUGAAGCUCUUUCGACGAGUCGAGUUGUUUGGGAAUGCAGCUCAAAAUGGGUGGUAAAUUUCAUCUAAAGCUAAAUAUUGGCCAGAGACCGAUAGCGCACAAGUAGAGUGAUCGAAAGAUGAAAAGCACUUUGGAAAGAGAGUUAAACAGUACGUGAAAUUGUUGAAAGGGAAGCGCUUGCAAUCAGACUUGCACGCUGCCGAUCAUCCGGGGUUCUCUCCGGUGCACUCGGUUGCGUUCAGGCCAGCAUCGGUUUGGGUGGUUGGAUAAAGGCCUUGGGAAUGUAGCUUCUUUCGGGGAGUGUUAUAGCCCUCGGUGCAAUGCAGCCUACCUGGACCGAGGACCGCGCUUCGGCUAGGAUGCUGGCGUAAUGGUUGUAAGCGACCCGUCUUGAAACACGGACCAAGGAGUCUAACAUCUAUGCGAGUAUUUGGGUGUUAAACCCAUAUGCGUAAUGAAAGUGAACGGAGGUGAGAACCCUUAAGGGUGCAUCAUCGACCGGUCCUGAUGUCUUCGGAUGGAUCUGAGUAAGAGCAUAGCUGUUGGGACCCGAAAGAUGGUGAACUAUGCCUGAAUAGGGUGAAGCCAGAGGAAACUCUGGUGGAGGCUCGCAGCGGUUCUGACGUGCAAAUCGAUCGUCAAAUUUGGGUAUAGGGGCGAAAGACUAAUCGAACCAUCUAGUAGCUGGUUCCUGCCGAAGUUUCCCCUC
This 934-nucleotide ribosomal RNA is filed under the name Nagrajchalara yinglaniae. RNAcentral's name for it is "partial large subunit ribosomal RNA". It matches the Rfam family "Eukaryotic large subunit ribosomal RNA", at positions 25 to 975 of the family's 3401-position model. Lineage: Eukaryota; Fungi; Ascomycota; Leotiomycetes; Helotiales. The record is from RNAcentral.